UACGUAGGGUGCAAGCGUUAAUCGGAAUUACUGGGCGUAAAGCGUGCGCAGGCGGUUAUGCAAGACAGAUGUGAAAUCCCCGGGCUCAACCUGGGAACUGCAUUUGUGACUGCAUGGCUGGAGUGCGGCAGAGGGGGAUGGAAUUCCGCGUGUAGCAGUGAAAUGCGUAGAGAUGUGGAGGAAUACCGAUGGCGAAGGCAGCCCCCUGGGAUAACACUGACGCUCAUGCACGAAAGCGUGGGGAGCAAACAGG
RNAcentral lists this ribosomal RNA (253 nucleotides) under uncultured bacterium. RNAcentral describes it as "partial 16S ribosomal RNA". It matches the Rfam family "Bacterial small subunit ribosomal RNA", at positions 524 to 776 of the family's 1533-position model. The record is from RNAcentral.